AAUAGAUACCCGGGUAGUCCAUGCCGUAAACGUUGGGCACUAGGUGUGGGGCUCAUUCCACGAGUUCCGUGCCGCGGCAAGCGCAUUAAGUGCCCCGCCUGGGGAGUACGGCCGCAAGGCUAAAACUCAAAGGAAUUGACGGGGGCCCGCACAAGCGGCGGAGCAUGCGGAUUAAUUCGAUGCAACGCGAAGAACCUUACCAAGGCUUGACAUGCACGGGAAGCCACCAGAGAUGGUGGUCUCUUUGGACACUCGUGCACAGGUGGUGCAUGGUUGUCGUCAGCUCGUGUCGUGAGAUGUUGGGUUAAGUCCCGCAACGAGCGCAACCCUCGUCCCAUGUUGCCAGCGGGUUAUGCCGGGGACUCAUGGGAGACUGCCGGGGUCAACUCGGAGGAAGGUGGGGAUGACGUCAAAUCAUCAUGCCCCUUAUGUCUUGGGCUUCACGCAUGCUACAAUGGCCGGUACAAAGGGCUGCGAUGCCGUAAGGUGGAGCGAAUCCCAAAAAGCCGGUCUCAGUUCGGAUUGGGGU
This 529-nucleotide ribosomal RNA is filed under the name uncultured bacterium. RNAcentral describes it as "bacterial SSU rRNA". It matches the Rfam family "Bacterial small subunit ribosomal RNA", at positions 777 to 1304 of the family's 1533-position model. The record is from RNAcentral.